This 435-nucleotide ribosomal RNA is filed under the name uncultured fungus. RNAcentral's name for it is "LSU rRNA". It matches the Rfam family "Eukaryotic large subunit ribosomal RNA", at positions 38 to 469 of the family's 3401-position model. The record is from RNAcentral. Lineage: Eukaryota; Fungi.
GCAUAUCAAUAAGCGGAGGAAAAGAAAAUAACAAUGAUUCCCUUAGUAACGGCGAGUGAAGGGGGAAAAGCUCAAAUUUUAAAUCUGCUAGGUUUUACCUGUCAGAAUUGUAAUUUGAAGAAGCGUUUUCCGCGUCUCGGUUGGCCCAAAUCCUUUGGGAUAAGGUAUCAUGGAGGGUGAGAAUCCCGUUCGGUUGACCUUAUGACGCUCUACGAUACGCUCUCUAAGAGUCGAGUUGUUUGGGAUUGCAGCUCAAAAUGGGAGGUAAAUUUCUCCUAAGGCUAAAUAUCGGCGAGAGACCGAUAGCGAACAAGUACCGUGAGGGAAAGAUGAAAAGAACUUUGAAAAGAGAGUAAAAUAGUACGUGAAAUUGUUGAAAGGGAAACGAUUGAAGUCAGUCGUACCGACGAGAAAUCAACUUAUCGUGUGCGAACU